This 322-nucleotide long non-coding RNA is filed under the name Nicotiana benthamiana. Its description in RNAcentral is "long non-coding RNA (NBEN_LNC023023)". The record is from RNAcentral. Lineage: Eukaryota; Viridiplantae; Streptophyta; Magnoliopsida; Solanales; Solanaceae.
CCAAGAUCUAACUAUUUGAAUGUUGAGGCAACACAUUGUUCUUUUGAAUAAGAUUCCGGUAGAGUUAAAAGCUAGACAAAAGUCAUCCUAUGUUGGCAGGCUGAAGUGAAUCCAUAACAGUUUGAAUAAGAUUCUGGUAGAGUUAAAAGCUAGACAAAAGUCAUCCAAUGUUGGCAGGCUGAAGUGAAUCCAUAACAGCAACAACAGUGCUUCUAUUCGAAGCAACUUGGGGUCGGCUAUAAGAAUACAUGCUAUCUUAGAUAUAGAUUCUGCAGGCUAGUCUAUUCAUGUUACCAAAGGAAGUUCCGAGUGACUUUAAAUU